RNAcentral lists this transfer RNA (67 nucleotides) under Magallana nippona (Iwagaki oyster). RNAcentral's name for it is "tRNA-Ile". Lineage: Eukaryota; Metazoa; Mollusca; Bivalvia; Ostreida; Ostreidae. The record is from RNAcentral.
AGUAUUGUGCCAGAGCUAUAUGGGCUUUGUUGAUGUCAAAGAAUACGAGAAAUUUUCUCCAAUGCUU